Molecule: small RNA, 7435 nt
Filed under: Rattus norvegicus (Norway rat)
Lineage: Eukaryota; Metazoa; Chordata; Mammalia; Rodentia; Muridae
Description: uncharacterized LOC102549305
Source: RNAcentral
ACCAAAAGAAAGAAAGAAAGAUAGGAAAUCCAACUGCAGGCCACUGUAAAGUUCCUAGAAAAACACCAUACAUGUGUUAAGGAUUCUACAAGGCUAUUGACUGACUGGAACUUUGUAAUGGUGAGAAGUUGGGAUGCUGCUCAUCUCGAGCCAAGUGAUUCUAAGUCAUUUUUAAUCCCUUUGUGAGCCAUUCACUGCCCAAGUCUGUAUCUGUCCUUACAUCCUCGGUUGGGGUAAACUUUUCAAAACUCUAGUAGCUGGGCAGGUGACCAGCUUCUGCCACCCUCAAAGCUAAGAAUGCCAUCUGCAGCAUCUGACGUCUGCUGCAGAAAUGUCCUCUCUCUGCUGCUCUUCCUGCUGACUAUUUCUACCCGUUUGUUUUUAAGCCUUGAUUUACAACCGUCUUAAUUACUUGUGUAAUUGUAAACACUCACAAAAUUGAUUCCGCAUUAGAAUGUGUUAUUUGACACAAAGCUGAAUUCUUGUUCCUGGACUAUCGUCAUUCACACUCGGCUUAAGAAUAGACCCUUAUGCCCUCUGAGGUGGCAUCUGUCUUUUACAGCAAACAGAAUAGUAUCCUUGUAUUGAUGACAUAGCCAAGACGAGGGUACAUCAGAGACAGAAAUGAAGGAAGGGGAUGGCUCCAGUGGGUGAAGGCACAAGAGUGGGAUUCUCAGUUUGAAUAGUAUAGGAUCCAUAGGUGUUACUCAAAGGCAACCAAUGAAGAAGUGUGAUAUAAAUGAAUGAGUCCAGGGGUUGGGGAUUUAGCUCAGCGGUAGAGCGCUUGCCUAGCAAGCGCAAGACCCUGGGUUCGGUCCCCAGUUCCGAAAAAAAGAAAGAAAAAAAUGAAUGAGUCCAUUAGUUUAAUUAUUCAUUAGUUAAUAAGUUAUGGUGAUGAAUGGUGUGUGUACACGCAUGCGUGCGUGUGCAUGCUAAACCUCUAAACCGCAGGCUUUGGACAUGCCAGGCAAACCCUCUUCUAAUCAAGCUACGUCUCCAGACAGAAAGUUAUUUUUAAGAAUAGAAACAAGACUAGAAUGGCAGGACUGUGCCCCAGAGGGCAUUUCCCUUAGGAUAUAGAGAAGUCAGCACCCCAUGGCUAAUUCAGGGCUUCGUGCCCUGAUGAGAUUUGGUCCUUUGCCAAAGGUUUCUGGAAGAACACUCAUAUGUACUUGCAUUUCUCUCAGCUGUAAGUCAUUGCUAGGCAUUUUCUGGACCUGUUUUACAGUAAUCACAACCACGGGAUUCAUGGCUUCACCUACUGUAUAGCUUUUGGUCUGUGUAGCCACGUUUACGUUUUCUGUCAAGGGCACUUUGGUCUUCUCUUGCCUGUUCAGUGAGUGUGGGAAAGUGAACUUGGCUUUAGAUUCAGACGUCCCGACCGGCUGGUGGGGCUGGCCUCAGCCUCAUGGCUGUUCUCUGAAGGGCUGUAGUCAGGUCUGCUAGAAUACAGGCUGUAACCAGUCGGCUACGUAGGUAAGGGACUUGGGGCAUCAUAUUCAUGGCUUUUCUUCUAGUAGCUACCAAACACACUUAAAAAAAAACAACAGGAAAGAGAGGUUUUGUUUGGGGUCACAGUUUGAGGUGAUACGGUUCCCUGUGGCAGGGGAAGGCAUGUGGAGGGAACAUGGAAACAGAUGGUCACGUCCCAUAGUCAGGUAGCGGAAAGAUGAGCUGGUGUUCAGACUGCUUCCUACUUCCGUUUCACUCUGUCAUCCCUAUCCUACCCCAGUCCGUGGAGGAUCCUCCCACAUUCAGAGCAGAUCUUUACCUAAGCUAAUCCUCAGCAAUCCUUCCGAAAUGCUCUCAUGGGAGCACCCAGAAGUGUGUCUCCUGGGUAAUUUCAACCCCAGCCAAGCAGACAAUGGAGAUCAAGCAGGACCCAUGUAGCCAAUCCGUAGGUCUGACCACACCCUCCAGCAGGGCAGUGAACCCCAGUUCAUCAUUUCAGCACACCCAUCCCUAUUGGCCAGGAGACCUUAAGUAAGCUUCUCUCCCCUCUCCCUUAUCCACUUUCCUAUCUGACCACUACCCUACAUCUAGUAGGCAGUAGCCCCUUCUGCACCCAUUACCAAGAGUCUCACUAAGACCCGGCCACCCCUAGGGCUGCUCGGUCACUGCGCAUGCUCACAGUUUACCCCUUCUGGGACGGUAGCGGCUCAUUUCGUGCUUUGUCCUGACUCCACUUUCCCAGAUUUUUGGGCACCUGUUUUCUUCUCUUGUUCCCAACCUAGCUCACCUCCUGGCAUUUCCAGAACACAUUUGCUAUUGACUUUCCCUGCCUAGUCUCAACACAUGACCUUGUUCCAACUCCAAAUCCUCACUCGGUCCUCUGACUCUAGCCACCCACCACUGUUUCUGUAUAGACCAGCAGGUGACCCACUGCAGUACGCUGUAGCCAAUAGGAGAAAUGGGACAUCAAGGCCAUGGCUUGUUAGAGAUUUUGCUUCUGCGUGUGUGGUAGUCCAUCUUUGAAGGAGGUCAGGGAUAAAGUCUAGGCAGGAACUUAAGCAGAACCCAUGGAAGAAUGCUGCUUGAUGUGCCAGACGUCGCCACCCACCAACACCCCACCCCCUACCUGCCGCUCCCCGACACACCCUGUGGGCUGAGCCUGGCCACCUCAGUCGUUAAUUAAGAAAAUGUCCUAUAGACAGCCUGGAUGGAGACAUUUUUCUUAACUGAGAUUGCUCUUCCGGGAUAACUCUAGCUUGUGUCAAGUUGACAGAAGAAAAAGAAAAAAAGACCCUACUCAGGUCAGCAUGUUAUAUUAAUAAGCUGUUUGCUCUCCUAGAAACUCAGUUUUGUUUCCGUACUGUAGAUUAGGCUGCUGAGGCCUGGAGAUGUCCAGUAACUUGCCAAGGAUCAGCCAACCAGAGUUCUGAAUGCAAACCCCAGAGUCCAGGGUCUUCGCUGCUACAGCCCCUCCCUAAGAGUUGCUGAGCACCUGGGCCUGAAGAGAAACCUGAAUUCCUCUGGCUUGAUCUCCUUCCUGAUACCUGGUAAAAGGAGGCCAUCUAUGUAUGGGAAGGCCUGGGUUGUUAAGUGGUGGUUAUCUACGUCAGUUUCCUAUGACAAAGGACAGCAUGCCGUUGGCUAAAAAUGACAGAAACUCAUUGUCUCUGAGUCAUUGAAGGUCAGAUCCAAAGUCAGGGUGUUGUUCCCUCCAGACCUCCAGGGAGGAAUUUGUCUGGGGAGGGUGGUGUGUGUGUGUGUGGGGGGGGGUUGUUCGGGAUUGUUUUGGUUUUUUAUCUUUUAGGGUAGCCUCAGUUAUUCUUUGGCUCUCAGCCACAAGCUCCCAUCUGUUUGUCUAGGGGCUCAGGCCUUUUCUUCCUCUUUUUAUGGAGGCAACACCCAGAUUCCAGCUAGAUUCCAGCUGCCUCAGUUCACUGUGGGCCUCAUCUUGGUCCAAGUGCACCUGAAAAUUCUGAAUUUCCAAAUACAACCUCACUCACAAGUACUGAGGCCCAGGGCUUCUGCACAUCUUUCCAGGAUCUACACCUACACAGUUCUCCAUACGUCUACGGAGUUCCUCUUGUGGAACAUUGCCCAUGUGUGUUGCUCUCUGUAUGUGGAAACCAAUCAUAAGACUGUGUAUCGAGGCAACUUUCAGGACAGAGACUACUUUCUGUAUUCCAAAACCUAGAAGGUCUUCAAAAGAACUUAUAUAUGUCUUUGACUUAAACUUAUUAUGUCAUCUCCAUAUCCAAUUAUGGAGUCAGAGAAGGAGAGAUGGUUCAGCGGUUAAGAGCACUUGCUGUUUGUUCGAAGACCUAAGUUCGAUUCCCAGCAUCCACAUGAUGGUUCACAACCAUCUGUAACUUCAGUUCUCUACACUCUCUCUCACCUCCAGAGGCACUGGGAAUGUAUGUGGUUUACAGGGAUAUAUGCAGAAAAAAUGCUCAUACCUGUAAAAAUAAAAUAAUUCUAAAAAAAUCAAAAACAUAUUAUUUUCACCCCAGUGAUAUUUAUAAUCUUUGUUUUUAACCCAUUAAAAUUAAUUUAAAGACAGAGAUAAGCAUUUUAGACAGAUAGUCAUAACUUUCUUUCAAGAUUUUAUUUUCCCCUGUGAAACAAACUAAUCUUAUUCCGCAAGUGAAGGGGACACUUAAGGGCUCUUUGGAAAGUCAGUUGGGUUGGACGGCCUUUUGCUAGGGCAAAGACGUGGAGUGUUUUCUCGAGGUGGACACAAGAGAAAGGCCGUUUUGCUGAGGCAGACUCGUGAGGGAAUGUGUCGCUGAAGCAGACACAGGUGAAAGGAUGCUCUGCUAAAGCAAACUCGUGAAAGGACUCGAUAAAGAAUGCUUUGCUAAUGGCACUCGUGCGUUGCUCUGCCUUACAUUGCUCAGUUGAGCUCCUUUUACUGGGACUCCAUAGAGAGAAAUGCACCAAAAAGCUUCUGGCAGUGUGCGACAGCCUCUUACAGCUUCUGCGAACUCACACUGAUGGGCAGAGUGAAGUCAGCUGACAUAGGCUCAUGCGCUGAGGCAAGACCCACGGAAGACACACGAUGUUUGGAGGGCAUAUAAAUAGAACUCAACUAACAGACUGUGAGAGGGGCUUGGUUUACUGCAUAGCUAACCGCUUCUUGGUCUCAAGUCUUCCCUGAUCUUUGCUUUGUUGAGAGAGACACAGCCAAGAACUGUUCCUGGCAUCCCUGCUGGUCUGUAGCCCUCCUGCUGCUGACUCAUGCUGACUCAUGCCUGUUCUGCUGAGGCCUGGCCUUCCCUGCUAGGUCACACCACCACUGCUGCUCUCAACACUACCAAACUGGACUGCUGGUAUAUCCGUGAAGUGUUUGGCCUUGGUGGUACUCCUGGAGGUGCCCCUCCCACAUUCAUCCCUGUGAGCAGCUCAUACCUCUCUCUCCUUUCUUCCCUUGUCACAUCCCUGGGAAGGCUGACAGAGUCUCUGGGUGAAGGGAAUGUCUACAUUAGCGUUUGCUCUUCUGAACAAAGAGAGCACAGAAAGACGGUUCUCUCUCGUCCACUUUGCUGUCUUCCGGAGGUCCUUACACUAUGGCCUGGUGGGCUCCCUGGCAGCUGUGUCCUUGCCUCUCUCUCCCCACCCCUUUGGAAACCUGGCUCUGUGAGCUGCCUAUUUAUUUACUUCUCUGGAAUUUCCGUCGCGAUGGUUCAGUGGGGCGGUUGCCGGGGGCCUGGGGCUGUUGGGCGUAUCAUCGGUACAAUAAUGUGUAUGUGUGUCCCCAGCUUUGCAAAAUUUAUAUGAAGGGAAUUAAAUCCAAACUAACUGCCGAGAUCAUCGUCCUUACCCUUGGCUUUUCCAGGGCCCUUGGGCAGAACCCUAGCCUGGGCAUAUUCCAAGAAGGAUAAAUUUAAUAUUAAUGAUAAUAAUACUUUGCACUUGGUCUAGUGAAAAUAUUUUGAAUGCAGCAAAGGCUGGGAAGCGAAUGUUUGCUUGGUGCGGUGGGUCAGGAAGCGCCUCUGCUUGUUUAUUAUGGUAGGGCUUUGUGUACAGAAACUAUUUUUCUCCUUUCUCACCGCCCGGGGCCAUAUUUCUUGUUGCUCGCUACAUCCAGAGUUUUACAGGAAGCCGCCACUCAUAUUUAAAUGGCAUGUUUUUAAAACAUGUCUGUAAAUAGCUGAAGACAGAUCGGCCGUAGGUGUGGCGUCGUCUCCUAUCCUCUCUGUCGGGAUUCUUUGUUCCACUCGAAAUCACAUCUCCGUCCCUGCGAGAUGGGGGAACUUUAAACUCAGCAUAGCCAGGAAGUUGGGAGACCCACGCUGUGAAUCGGUGGUGGCUGGAAGAUUCCCAGAGGAAGAGGGAGGAGUCUCUUCUCAACUGGAGGUUGAAGCAGUAGCCAGAGAUGUCAUACAAAUGCACAAAGAGCUUUCUUCGAGAUCCUCUGCUUCCUCCAGAGCCUGCCUCCCUGAAGUGAUUCUAUGGCAACAACAAAACAGCCUCGCCAGGAUGGAGGUGAGCUGCACACCUCCAUCUCCCAGCAGCAGGCCCCUUGGCUGCAUGCUUUGCCGUCCGUCUCCAGCCCUGACAGUGGCAUGAUGUAUUAUUCAGGCUAGAAUCACCCAAGGGGCACCCUCUCCAGAUCUAACUCACUCUAAUUCUGGAUGCUGCUCCACCUUGGGCCCCUGCUGCAUUUGAAGGCACAGAUCUUGCUCCAGCAAAUUUGGCUAAGACUCAUCCAGGGUGACUGACAUAUUGCACCUGUAAACCAGAGAACUUUAAGUGUGUGCGCCCAGGAACAUGGCAGUGAACCUGCUUAGAUGGUCUUUAGGAGGAAAGCUAGUUAUGUGUAUAGUCUACAGAAGCUUAACCCCUUGUUAAAAAAAGAGUAGGGGAGUACAGUUUAAGAUGGUGUAUUUUUCACACCUCUCCUAUAGUUUGGAUCUGGACUAUCCCUUGGGGGCCUGUGUGUAAAGUCUUGGUUUCCAUAUUGAUGUUAUCAGGAGGCAGUGGGAGCUUUAGGAAAUGAAGCCUGUUCAGUUUGUAUAAUGUUACCUGCAUGUAUGUUACCUGCAUGUAUGUUAAGCAAUUGGUGUGCUCUUCUCUGGAGACGACUGUUUUUCCCACUCCCAGCAUUCCUUAAUUGCUUGAAGGUUAUAAUAUAUGUAACAUAUUAUAAUAUAUAUCAUUUUAUAUUGCGCCAUUAUUAUAUACUUAUAUAUUAUAUAUUUGUGUUAUUAUGUUAUAUAAUAAUAAAUUAAUUACAUAUAUUAUAUAUAUUAACAAUCAAUUACAAAGACAGGUAUAUAGGAGGACUUGGAAGACAGAAAGGGAAAGGGAAAAUAAUAUAUCUCAGAAAAUAAAAAAUAAAAAUUUUAAACUAUAUAAAUGAGGGGAGUGAUGCCUAAUAUGGAGUCUUUUGUCGCUGGGCGAUGCGUUGGACCCUCCUGUGAGACCUCAGCCUCCUCCUCCUUUCUUUGCUCCAUUGGCCACUACAAGCCCAGAGCUGCAAUGCCAACCAAGAUCUCCAAGACUGCGAGCCAACAUACACUUUUCCUCUUUGCAAACUGGCUUCAUAAGGUGACAGAAAACUGAUGGAUACUUUCUAAGUCUCAGUAAGAAUGAAGAAAAUGGUGAGCAGGGCCAAGCACCUGCCUAGCAUGCGUGGGGUUCCAAGUUCAAGCCCUGGCACAGCAAGAAAAUCGAAGCACAGUCUCUGAUCUGCCUUGCAGCAAUGAGACCCUCACUUCAAGGCCUUGCCCUGUAGCCUUAAGAGAAGAACAAUGAAGGAUCCACCAUGGCCCAGCAUGGACGUUGUUCAGUCACAUUUUCACUGAUGUUCAUGGUUUCUUCAUACCCAUGUAAUGAGACCUUCAUAAAGUCAAAUGGGGCAGUGUAUAGAGACCAUCUAGGGGUUCCUGAUGGGGUUCUCAAAGAGAGCGUGAGAGUGCAGCAACCCUUCUCCCAGACCUUAACUGCUUUAUCUGUAUCCUUUAAAAUAAAAGUUGUAGUUCUC